ACUCGAAUUGUUGUACAUUGUGUA
RNAcentral lists this non-coding RNA (24 nucleotides) under Arabidopsis thaliana (thale cress). Lineage: Eukaryota; Viridiplantae; Streptophyta; Magnoliopsida; Brassicales; Brassicaceae. The record is from RNAcentral.